Molecule: small nucleolar RNA, 73 nt
Filed under: Echinops telfairi (small Madagascar hedgehog)
Lineage: Eukaryota; Metazoa; Chordata; Mammalia; Afrosoricida; Tenrecidae
Description: Small nucleolar RNA SNORA47 (ENSETEG00000025858.1)
Rfam family: Small nucleolar RNA SNORA47
Source: RNAcentral
GACUGAGAAGGUGAGGCAGCUCUGUACCAUGCUGCCAUCACUGGUUAAGAAAAAAAAUAAAAAGAAAUAUUCC